GUGACAUUUAUCUUCAAGAGUCAAUUAUUUCCUCUAUGGGUGUUCUUGAGCAAAGAUAUCUAGAACACAUUCUCUAUUAAUUUGGGGGUAUGAAAGUACAAAAACUGUUGGUACAUGUUGGAACCUUUAUCUCUAUAAAUGUAUGUAUCAAAUACUGUCAAAUUAGCAUUUCUUUUCCAGUCUUUGCUCACAUUUAAAUGGUUUCUACUGUAUUGUUCUCAGUGAUGUGCAGCUGGUGGUAUUGAUGAGCCCAGCUACCUGAAGCAAACUUCCUCCACUUUUUUUGCAAGAAAAAGAAGUUUAGAGGAAUGCAUUUUGCAGCAUUAUAUGGAAUUUUCCUGUGCAUCUAUCCAGUUACGGAUGUUUCCCUGGUGCAUACCCCAUGGCUCUCUUGCUUAAUGCUGAACUGGCAGAGAUGCUGGCAAACGUAUCACAGACAAGCUGAUGAGGUCAGACUAAUGACUUAGGCUGGGUUCUGAACUUAAAGCUUUUGCCAUUUUGGUUGAGGUUACCCAUGCUCCAGAGAUGUCCACUCUCCAAUUAGGAGCACCCUAUUCUUUCAGUGCCUGAGCCAAACCCCAAAGCACUGAAAGGGAGAGUAGAGCUGUGAGUGCCUAGAGGUUGCUACUCUUCACUGUAUCUGGUGAGUUUGUCUAACUUGUCCAUUUAAUGCAGAAACUGUAGUACUCUGAGUCCCUGCAAAUUGUGCUGGAAACAUUCCACGUAGCAUUAGAAAUGAGCGGUAGGCUGUGCUUCCUUCAUCUCUGCAAAGUGGUAAACAGGGAGUAGAUUCACUCCAAGCUCUCCAAACUAUGAGCUACAGCCUGAAGCAAAACAAAAGGAAUUUCUUAGUUCUCUCAAAUGAAAACUGGUUGCCCCCUGCUUUCCAUAGGAUAUGUGAGGGAAGCGGGCCUGCAUGUACAAAAGGUGUCGUAAGCUGCUGCCAACUGGUUAUAUAAUCUAGGUGACCUGAUCAAGAUAGACGACUUCUUACUCAGUUACUGCUUUUUUUCAGAAUUGAUGCAGUUUUCUGUUCUGAACCUUAGCAAUUACCCAGUUGAUUUAACUUUGAAAGAAUGGUAUUUAAACUAUGAAAUACUGAAAUUAUUC
RNAcentral lists this long non-coding RNA (1110 nucleotides) under Cairina moschata (Muscovy duck). RNAcentral describes it as "domestica (muscovy Duck (domestic type)) lncRNA (ENSCMMG00000012256.1)". Lineage: Eukaryota; Metazoa; Chordata; Aves; Anseriformes; Anatidae. The record is from RNAcentral.